AACGAACGCUGGCGGCGGGGCUUAGGCAUGCAAGUCGAGCGAGAAAGCCGCAAGGCAAGUACAGCGGCGUAAGGGUGAGUAAUAGGUAGUCAACGUAUCCAUGAGACGCGAAUAAUUUUCCGAAAGGGAUUGUAAUGCGCGAUGAGACCACGCUUCCUUCGGGGAGAGGGGUCAAAGGUCGGGGAUUCUUCGGAACCUGGCGCUGAUGGAGCGGACGACCUCCGAUUAGCUAGAUGGCGGGGUAACGGCCCACCAUGGCUGUGAUCGGUAGCCGGCCUGAGAGGGGAGAUCCCCCACACUGGUACUGACGACACGGACCAGACUCCUACGGGGAGCAGCAGUGAGGAAUAUUGGACAAGUGGGCGCAAGCCUGAUCCAGCCAUGCCGCGUGCAGGAUGAAGCAUCUAUGGUGUGUAAACUG
RNAcentral lists this ribosomal RNA (421 nucleotides) under uncultured bacterium. Its description in RNAcentral is "bacterial SSU rRNA". It matches the Rfam family "Bacterial small subunit ribosomal RNA", at positions 29 to 432 of the family's 1533-position model. The record is from RNAcentral.